This is a long non-coding RNA of Astyanax mexicanus (Mexican tetra), 1634 nucleotides long. RefSeq lists it as uncharacterized. The record is from RefSeq and is a predicted model, not a curated record. Lineage: Eukaryota; Metazoa; Chordata; Actinopteri; Characiformes; Acestrorhamphidae. The transcript is spliced from 2 exons.
UCUCUUGGGAGAGACUACCGGACCUGAAAAGUGGCCAGAUGCUAGCAGGAUUGUGGAAGCAGUCUGCCGCCAGUUGUGCGAUCUGCACCCAUCUUCUGUACAGACAAAGGGGGUGUGGGUCGAAAGGUGGGCGCUGAUACUUUGAGACUACCAAAGCAUAAGACAGCUAGUCCUAAACACUCCAAUGCUGCUGAGCAGGACUACGCUGCAGCUGUUUGAAAUAAAUCGGCGAACUCUUAUGCAGCGGUUCAACAAACGUCAGAAGGCCCAAGAGUGUGCUGUUCUUCUUCAGGGGGUGGAGCGACCGAGUGCCAGCGCUGUGGCCCAGGAUCCACUCCCACCCCCAUGUGAGCAGCCCUUUGCAUUCCAGCCAUUCACCUUCACAAAUGCCUCAAGCUCCCCGUGCUCGCCUUGUCCUUCCUGCUGCCUCUGUGACUCAGACACAGCCUGUAUGUGUUUUUAUUCCACCGCCUCCUUCAUCGCAUAUUCCGGUACCAGUGUUUCAGCCAGUCCAGUACACCGCUCAAUCACCCACAGCAGUGACAGGAGCAGCAGUACAGGUUGAACAAGUUUCACCAAUCACAGCCUGGUACCGUAAGAAGACUAAGGGCACCCAGAGGCGCAAGUAUGAACGCUCCAGUGAGCACAACUUGUGCUCUAAAUGUGGUCAGCCCAAACAAAAGGAAUUUGGCCACAACAGGUUUGGAAGCGAGACCUUUCGUGCUGCAACCUCAUCACUAACUGUGGACCAGUGGUUGGCACAGAUGAGUGAAAAACUACAAGAAGUAACAUUUUAUAAGCAAUUUAAUGUCUUCUACUUCAAGAACUUCUUCACUGUUUGUUUACCAGUUCAAUUUAACAAUCGUUUUAUGCUGCACUGUGCAGAAUUGUCCUGUUUGUAUUGAUUAGAAUUGAUUGUUUUAUUAUACUGCACUUUAUAUUGAGCAGACUUUUCCUGUUUGUAUUGAUUAGAAUUGUGUUAUUAUUCUGCUCUGUUUAUAUUGUGCAGAAUUUUCCUGUUAGUAUUGAUUAUAAUUGAUUGUUGUAUUAUACCGCACUGUUUAUAUUGUGCAGUGUUUUUCUGUUUGUACUGAAAGACUUGAUUGUUUUAUUAUACUGCACUUUAUAUUUUAUUUUAAAAAAUGUUUUAAUUUCUUCAAACAAUUCUUAUUUUCAUUUAUAGUGCCCUAUUCAAUGUUACCACCCAUGGGACACCAUUAAAAACCACCGGCAACUGUUAGAACCCACCGUCGACAGUUAUACCCCACGGGCGACCGCUAAAAACCAGCAACUGUUAGAAACCUCCGGCAACCAUUAGAAACACUGGGAGCCGUUUGCGUAGACCAGUCGUGAUCAGGCUGGGUCGUUCUUCUUUUUUUUUUACUUCAUGUAUGGUAACACUAUAAUCUAUUUUCAGUGCCUGCCGAUGAGACGGCAGUGUAAGCUUUUCCUCAUUUGCACAGCCUUCAAGAACUUAACAUGCAGAACUUUUGCAUGUAAAAGACAUGAUUUCAUCAAGCUUGUAUUGCAAGUAAGUAAAUUAAAUACAUUUUAGCUGACUGGUCAACGCAUACAUUCCAUUGCAUAAUCUUGUCACAGUAUUUACUGUAUUGAAAUAAAAGAUUGAGUGACAA